This 253-nucleotide ribosomal RNA is filed under the name uncultured bacterium. RNAcentral's name for it is "partial 16S ribosomal RNA". It matches the Rfam family "Bacterial small subunit ribosomal RNA", at positions 524 to 776 of the family's 1533-position model. The record is from RNAcentral.
UACGUAGGGUGCAAGCGUUAAUCGGAAUGACUGGGCGUAAAGGGUGUGUAGGCGGUCUGCAAAGUCUGAUGUGAAAUCCCCGGGCUCAACCUGGGAACUGCGUUGGAUACUGGUAGACUAGAGUACGUAAGAGGGGGGUGGAAUUCCACGUGUAGCAGUGAAAUGCGUAGAGAUGUGGAGGAACACCGAUGGCGAAGGCAGCUCGCUGGGACGGUACUGACGCUGAGACGCGAAAGCGUGGGGAGCAAACAGG